Molecule: non-coding RNA, 463 nt
Filed under: Pan troglodytes (chimpanzee)
Lineage: Eukaryota; Metazoa; Chordata; Mammalia; Primates; Hominidae
Source: RNAcentral
GGCCACCUAAGAUGGAAGAAGCCAUGAGAUGAGUAAGCGUUGCCUACUCACAAGGUUGCAAACUGUCCUUCGCUUACGAUUAUCCCCCAACGCCCCCUCCUAAAUCUGAUCAAUCGCAUGGAACUUGAUGGUUACAAAAGACAGAGCUAACAACUAGCUACCUUGCAGGAACGGGAACGUCAUUCUGAGGGUAGUCCACAUGCAAGUGUUCUAAGGUUGACAUCACUGCUUCAUCAUUCACCUCAUUUUCCCAGAACAGAAGCACCAAGAAAAUUAUCACCAUUAUUAUCAUCAGAGAUUAAGAAGCAGCAAUGCCCCUCUUGUGGCAAGAGUUGGCAGCGUGCGGUUGGUAUGUCAACGCAUCCAAGGUCCAAGGGCCUGGAUUGUCUGCCAAAUGCUUGGGAGUUGUUUGAUCAGGUUGACAUGCUCCAACAGCAUUGUGGACUGGGCCCACACCUACGCU